This 24-nucleotide non-coding RNA is filed under the name Arabidopsis thaliana (thale cress). The record is from RNAcentral. Lineage: Eukaryota; Viridiplantae; Streptophyta; Magnoliopsida; Brassicales; Brassicaceae.
GCAAAUGCUUGGAGAUACUUGCUC